CAGUCGCCGCGGUAAUACGUAGGGUGCGAGCGUUAAUCUGAAUUACUGGGCGUAAAGCGUGCGCAGGCGGUUCGUUAAGACAGAUGUGAAAUCCCCGGGCUUAACCUGGGAACUGCAUUUGUGACUGGCGAGCUAGAGUAUGGCAGAGGGGGGUAGAAUUCCACGUGUAGCAGUGAAAUGCGUAGAGAUGUGGAGGAAUACCGAUGGCGAAGGCAGCCCCCUGGGCCAAUACUGACGCUCAUGCACGAAAGCGUGGGGAGCAAACAGGAUUAGAUACCCCAGUAGUCCCUGUCUCUUAUAA
RNAcentral lists this ribosomal RNA (301 nucleotides) under uncultured bacterium. RNAcentral describes it as "partial 16S ribosomal RNA". It matches the Rfam family "Bacterial small subunit ribosomal RNA", at positions 509 to 809 of the family's 1533-position model. The record is from RNAcentral.